GACACGGCCCAGACUCCUACGGGAGGCAGCAGUAGGGAAUUUUCGGCAAUGGGGGAAACCCUGACCGAGCAACGCCGCGUGAAGGAAGAAGUAAUUCGUUAUGUAAACUUCUGUCAUAGAGGAAGAACGGUGGAUAUAGGGAAUGAUAUCCAAGUGACGGUACUCUAUAAGAAAGCCACGGCUAACUACGUGCCAGCAGCCGCGGUAAUACGUAGGUGGCGAGCGUUAUCCGGAAUUAUUGGGCGUAAAGAGGGAGCAGGCGGCACUAAGGGUCUGUGGUGAAAGAUCGAAGCUUAACUUCGGUAAGCCAUGGAAACCGUAGAGCUAGAGUGUGUGAGAGGAUCGUGGAAUUCCAUGUGUAGCGGUGAAAUGCGUAGAUAUAUGGAGGAACACCAGUGGCGAAGGCGACGAUCUGGCGCAUAACUGACGCUCAGUCCCGAAAGCGUGGGGAGCAAAUAGGAUUAGAUACCCUAGUAGUCCACGCCGUAAACGAUGAGUACUAAGUGUUGGGAGUCAAAUCUCAGUGCUGCAGUUAACGCAAUAAGUACUCCGCCUGAGUAGUACGUUCGCAAGAAUGAAACUCAAAGGAAUUGACGGGGGCCCGCACAAGCGGGGGAGCAUGUGGUUUAAUUCGAAGCAACGCGAAGAACCUUACCAGGUCUUGACAUCGAUCUAAAGGCUCCAGAGAUGGAGAGAUAGCUAUAGAGAAGACAGGUGGUGCAUGGUUGUCGUCAGCUCGUGUCGUGAGAUGUUGGGUUAAGUCCCGCAACGAGCGCAACCCCUGUUGCCAGUUGCCAGCAUUAAGUUGGGGACUCUGGCGAGACUGCCGGUGACAAGCCGGAGGAAGGCGGGGAUGACGUCAAAUCAUCAUGCCCCUUAUGACCUGGGCUACACACGUGCUACAAUGGACAGAGCAGAGGGAAGCGAAGCCGCGAGGUGGAGCGAAACCCAUAAAACUGUUCUCAGUUCGGACUGCAGUCUGCAACUCGACUGCACGAAGUUGGAAUCGCUAGUAAUCGCGAAUCAGCAUGUCGCGGUGAAUACGUUCUCGGGCCUUGUACACACCGCCCGUCACACCAUGAGAGUCGGUAACACCCGAAGCCGGUGGCCUAACCGCAAGGAAGGAGCUGUCUAAGGUGGGACUGAUGAUUGGGGUGAAGUCGUAACAAGGUAUCCCUACGGGAACGUGGGGAUG
This 1195-nucleotide ribosomal RNA is filed under the name human gut metagenome. RNAcentral's name for it is "bacterial SSU rRNA". It matches the Rfam family "Bacterial small subunit ribosomal RNA", at positions 323 to 1520 of the family's 1533-position model. The record is from RNAcentral.